RNAcentral lists this ribosomal RNA (467 nucleotides) under uncultured bacterium. RNAcentral's name for it is "partial 16S ribosomal RNA". It matches the Rfam family "Bacterial small subunit ribosomal RNA", at positions 28 to 507 of the family's 1533-position model. The record is from RNAcentral.
GACGAACGCUGGCGGCGUGCUUAACACAUGCAAGUCGAACGGAAAGGCCCCAGCUUUCUGGAGUGCUCGAGUGGCGAACGGGUGAGUAACACGUGGGUAAUCUGCCCUGCACUUUGGGAUAAGCCUGGGAAACUGGGUCUAAUACCGGAUAGGACCUUCUUCCUCAUGGGGUUUGGUGGAAAGUUUCUCGGUGCAGGAUGGGCCCGCGGCCUUUCAGCUUGUUGGUGGGGUAAUGGCCUACCAAGGCCUCGACGGGUAGCCGGCCUGAGAGGGUGAUCGGCCACAUUGGGACUGAGAUACGGCCCAGACUCCUACGGGAGGCAGCAGUGGGGAAUAUUGCACAAUGGGCGAAAGCCUGAUGCAGCGACGCCGCGUGCGGGAUGACGGCCUUCGGGUUGUAAACCGCUUUCAGUAGGGACGAAGCGCAAGUGACGGUACCUGGAGAAGAAGCACCGGCUAACUACGUG